AGAGAGAGACAUGCGCGCAUAUCAAUAAGCGGAGGAAAAGAAACUAACAAGGAUUCCCCUAGUAACGGCGAGUGAAGCGGGAAGAGCUCAAAUUUGAAAUCUUAAAGGGUUUCCCUUUACGAAUUGUAGUUUAAAGAAGUGUUUUCUGUUGAGGUUUUGGUAAAAGUUCUUUGGAAUAGGACAUCAUAGAGGGUGAGAAUCCCGUAUUUGACCUUUACUUUCAACUUUGUGAUACACUUUCAAAGAGUCGGAUUGUUUGGGAAUGCAGUCCAAAAUGGGUGGUAAAUUUCAUCUAAAGCUAAAUAUUGGCGAGAGACCGAUAGCGAACAAGUACCGUGAGGGAAAGAUGAAAAGAACUUUGAAAAGAGAGUUAAACAGUACGUGAAAUUGUCAAAAGGGAAGCGUUUGACACCAGUGUUGUUUUUCUGAAAAUCAAUUAAAGAACUGUUUAUGCUAAGCUGUUUAGACUUUAUCAGCUAAUCUGUUUAGUUUUGAGCUUUUCUUUAAUGCACUUUUCAGUUAACAAGUCAACAUCAAUUUCUUUUGCUGUAAGAAAGCUUGAGGAAGGUGGCUUGAGAUUCGUCUUAAGUGUUUAUAGCCUCUUGCCUAUGCAGUCGGAGAGAUUGAGGUCUGCAGCGUAGAUCCUUCGGGGCUAAAUGCAUUUGUGCUAAGUUAUAGCAUUUUAUAGACAACUUGUUGACUAUGAUUUGUCUUGUAGCUUACUCGCUUAUGUUAUUUUACCUACGCUUAGGAUGUUGACGCAUGAGAUAUACGC
Molecule: ribosomal RNA, 775 nt
Filed under: uncultured Neocallimastigales
Lineage: Eukaryota; Fungi; Neocallimastigomycota; Neocallimastigomycetes; Neocallimastigales
Description: partial large subunit ribosomal RNA
Rfam family: Eukaryotic large subunit ribosomal RNA
Source: RNAcentral